This is a long non-coding RNA of Cebus imitator (Panamanian white-faced capuchin), 8807 nucleotides long. RefSeq lists it as uncharacterized. The transcript is spliced from 3 exons. Lineage: Eukaryota; Metazoa; Chordata; Mammalia; Primates; Cebidae. The record is from RefSeq and is a predicted model, not a curated record.
UUAAGUUAUAAAAUACCAGUAGCAGCAUGGAAUUAUAGCACCACCUUGUGGUUAAAUGCCAAUAUUUUACCUUUUAGAAAAACAAGAGAUUUCCCUUCAAAUAAUAAUUUUUCCCUUUUGAAAAAUUCAAUUUUAAAAGGAAACAGUUUUGAAGUUUUCUUAUGGAAGUUAGAAGAAAAGUUGUCUCUUCUUUUAUUUUUUCUUUAUACAGUAUAGAUAUAUACACAAUGAAAUGACUUAAAACAUUUCUAGUGUGUAGACAGUGGGCAAAAGAUAAGUAUAUAUUGAAAAUAUAAAAUAUUUCAUAUAUAUUAUCAAGUGGAAAUUUGGAAUCCAAAUUUUCUUAAACUUCUCUCUAAUAACUUUUGUCUAACAACUAUCUAACGGACUAAUGAACUCAUAACACAUCAUACAUUUACACUUACAAAGAGUCUCUAUCUUGACAACAUGAUUUUUGGAAAAAUAAAGCAAAUUUGACUUUAUUGAAGUUAUUGAAGCAAUCAACAAAUUGUUAUUUUUAAAAGUUUUCUCUUUUAGGCAGUUUGGUUUGCAGUCUUAAACUAACCACUGUUGAUUAACUUUAGAAGGUGAAGCAGGGGAGUUCUGAAGAGAUUAUCUGGAGCUACAUAAUUAACGCUAAGUUAAAUUAAAUGUUCACUUUCAUUCUUUUCAUUCUCACAUAAGCUGGUUGAAAAACAUCAUACUACUGACAAAGGUGUCAGUAGCUUGUGCUGCCCUUUCUGUACUAUGCUCUGAAUAGGUCUAGGUAGAGAUAAUAUGGAAAUACUAUAAAGAAUACAUAAGGUAAAAUACCAGUCAGAAAGGGUUCAAAAGAAGUUAACAUCAACUAUGUGAAGAUUCUAGGUAAAGCUAAGAACUAUUGAGUUGGAAAAAAAUAGUGUCAUGUUUGUUUGUUUUCCUCUAUUUUUUUACAUAAUGUUGUAAUAUAUUCUUUUAAAAAUAAAACUUGAAAACGUUGGAACUUUGUUUCAUGCCAUUCAUUACUCAUAGCUUUAUAUAAUUGAUACACAUUUGGGGAAGCAUAAAUUUUUUUUUAAAAAAAGCCUCGUCAAUUUUAUAAACUACAGCGCUUUUUGAACCCAAAUAACCUUGUCACUUUGAUUUUUACUUUUUAACAAUUCCCCAGGUUUGUCUCCUUUCUUUGAAACUGAAGGACAUAAAAAAGGUGAAGUAGAGGUAAUGUAAAACAGUCAACUACAAAAUUAAAGCUUUAAUUGUGUCGGGCAGGUUUCUUAUACUACUCAGAGAAGAAACCUGGAAAAUCAGUACAGCACUGAUAGCAGUAGCACAUUCGGAACAUGCAUACUUACUUUUGAAGAGGAAAUUUUUUAAAAUUCAUAUUAGUUUUAUCAUGAUUUAUGUUUAUUUAUAAUAUUUGUGGGAAUUAGGACUAUAUAAGAAUAUAUGGUUUGGUUUUUGUUUUUUAUUCCUCAGCAAAGUCCACUAAAUUACUAGUAAAAGUUGGAUUUGAUUUUGCUUUUUAAUUGUUUGUGUAAAAUAUUAAUCUCAACAUUUUAAAAUUAAAAACAGAGUACUUAAUAAGCAUCUCAAAUGCAUAAAUUAUUUUAAUUUUACAUUAGGGAGAUGGGUAGUAAGAAGAAAAGUAGAGAAUCACAGGAAAGUUGAACAGUUGGGGAAUCAGAGUGAUGAGAAGGCUGAAUAUUUUAGAAUAGUUCCUAAUUUGUUUCAGUCCUUUGGUUCACUUAAAUCGUUAUGUACUUGGAGUGCAAAUCCUUUGUUUCAGUCCUUUGGUUCACCUAAGUUGUUAUGUACUUGGAGUGCAAAUCAUCUUAUUAAAUCAUGAGAUGUAGCUCUUCAAUUCGUUUGUUGUUGAAACCCUAAGAGGCACUUGUGACAAUGCAACAGAAUUUUGUAUGUGUUUCUUAUGUCUCUUGACCGUCCCUGUAGAUGGACUUUUGCAUUUUUCCAGUAAUGUUUGCCCCAGGUAGAUCGCCUUUCUGGGUCCUCCAACAACAGUAUUUCUAUUUUUGUUACCUUGUCUCUGAAACUUCUGAGGUUUUCUAAUACUAUGUAUAUUAGGAUAUUUAUGAAAAAAGGCUUUAAAGUAAACUUUGGAAUAGUUAUUUGUAAUUACAGUGAUAAAACUGUCAAUCUGAAUUAAAGAUUGAUCAUUUUUAGACCCAUGACUGGCUCACUUUUUUCUAUUUUUCCCAUUCCCCACUUUGAUGAGGAAGCAUUACCUUCUGUAAGUCCUCAUGAAGUGGAGGAUGUUUUGUUUGCGUGCCCUUUGCUAUUGUAUGGGAGGCAAAACUUUACCAUCUUAAGGUCUCUGACUAGGCCCGAUAAUUAAAUUGAUGUAAGGUAAAUUAGCAGGAGAAAAGCAAAUGGAUUUUCCAAUGUACGUGGGUGCUCCAUAGGAAAAUGAAGACCCAAAGAAGUUGCAAAACCUAAAUGCUUAUACAGUGGGUUGAAUGGAGAGUAGCAAUUGUGGAAAAGUAACUGUAUGAAAAGACUAAAGGAAGGUAAGAGUUAUUUUAACAAAGACCAUUUGUACGGAUUUUUCUCCACUUUAAUUCAUCUCUGGUAAUAAGAGUGUUUCUUCUUUCCUUGUACAGGGAGGGCAUCUUUCACAGGUAAGUUUUCUCUGCUUGGUGAUAAGAAUGUUUCUUUUUUCCUGGUGCAGGAGGGCAGUGUCUUUUUUUGCAUCUGCUGGUUUUCAAGUUCCUUUAGCUCAAAAUAAUCUUAUGCCAAAGUGGCAUAUUUUAUGGUGGCAUAUUCUGCCACACUUCACCAUCAAAAACAGUGUAUAGAAUCUCCCUCAAAGAUUACCACUGCUACUGCUGCUGCUGCUGCUACUGCUACUGCUACUAAUAAUCCAUCCCCUGCCUAAGCCCUAUCAUUUAUACUGUACUAUUCUUUAUCUUUUAUAUUAUUUCAUACAUUUAUCUCCUUUCUCAUGGCCACUGUAUUCAAGGUUUCUCAUUCUUUACUUGCACUAUUCACUGAUCUUGCCUCUCUCAAUGUAUCCAUGCCACUACCAAAGUGUGUGUGUGUAUAUAUUUGAAAUUGAUUAUGCCAUGUUGCUGCUAAAAAUGUAUCUUUGUGUUUCUUUUAUUCCUAAUGUGUAGAGCCCAGCUUCUUAUGCUGGACAGCAAAGAUCUUCUUUUUUUGAAGUCUUUCUUUCCAGUGUCAUCUUCUAUAACUCUAUAGAGAACCUAAAUACACAGAACUCUUAAAAUCUGCUUUCAGACACUCUUUCUUCUGUCUAGAAUGACUUUUCCUUUCAACUGGCAAGUUUCUGCUUAUCCUCAAAGACCCAGUACCUUUCUUGGAAAAGCUUUUCUCAACUGUAGAGUCCAAAUUAUCCACUUCUGUCUCUUUGCUGCUUUAGUGCCCUUUUCAUACAUUUGAUUUUUGUACCCACUUUAUUUAUAUGACUUUAAUUCUCAUUGGUCUUCCAGCUUUCAGUAUUUUUUCUAAUGUUCAUUUCUUCUAGUGCCUAUCAUUUAUUCAUUACAGACUAAAUGGUACUAAUAAUUAUUUGUUGACUAAAUGAAUAUCAAAUACAUUAUAAUUAGUGUUCCAGAUAAGCAAGGUUUUAUCAAGCUAGGGCCUGGUCAAUCAUAUUGUAUUUUUUCUAUGGAAGAAAUGUAUUGACAGAAGAAAAAUAUAAUCAUGAAUUCUAGCAAAGAGUUGACCAAAGAUGACUAGCUCAUUGAUAGGUUAAUGAAUACAUUUAGAAUGAAAGUUGAUUAAAGUGCCUACUAAUGCCAGUCAUUGUGCCCGGCACUGGAUAUAUGCAGAGAGAAAGAUAGAAAUGGUUCCUGUUCUUACCGAGCUAAUAGCUAAGUAGCAAAGACAAUUAAAUAAGCAAUAGCAAUGUGUAGUACUGUGAUAAGAGAAGAAUAAGGCAUUCCAAUGAGGCAUCAGAUAGAAGGAAAUAAUGGGAUUUGGAAUCAGGUAUCAAACUGAUAGCAUGGAAGGAAGUGAUAUUUAUCUUAAUUCCUAAAGGGUGAAUAGAGUACAGCCAGGGCAGAUGGUUUGAGCAAAAGGACUAGCGUAAACAAAGACUUAAAAGGAAGAGCAUUUGAAUUUGAAAGAGAUUCACUAGGACUAGCAUACUAAGUGUGCAGUGUGUGUGUGUGUGUGUGUGUGUGUGUGUGUGUGUGUCUAGAGGUCAGUUGACACAGGCCUAAGGGACAGCUUGUAUCUUAUUUACUGUAACAUUUAAACAGCAGAAUAUGAUAACCAGAUUUGAGUGUUUGAAGGAUUUAAUUUCCUGCUUUAAUAUGGAGAAUGGGUAAGGGGGUAAAACUAGAGGCAGAGAAACCAGUGGGAGGCUAUUACAGCAAUUGAAGAAACAUAUAGUAAGGGUGACUUGAAUUAUGAUGACAGUGGAGAUGGAGGGAAAUAAUGGGGUUUGGAGCAAAUGUAAUAUAAGGACUGUCUUCAAUUUAGUAUUUGCAUUAGGAGAUAGAAAGAUACUACACUAGUGUUUAAUCUGAUAUCUUGCCUAAUUGGUCCUCUUCUGGAAUCUUGUUAGAAAUGCAAAAUCUCAAGCCGUGCUCUUGACCUACUACAUCAGAUGGUGCAUUACACAAAGAACCCAAAGAAAUUUGUAGUUACCUUAAGUUCAAGAAACAUUAGUUUACAUUAACAUACUUCCUGUUUUAUUAUCAUAACUAACAUUUGAAUCUAAGCCUUCAAAUUCAGAUUUUCCUGAAUUGCUUUCAUCUAAGCAUAUACAGCUUUACAUAAUUCAUAUUCAGCAUCUUGGACUCCUUAGCACCUUUGGUUAGAGUUUUAGGGUUUUGAGUGCAUUUAGUUAAAUAAUUUUUUUUCCCGCAGUCAAAUGAUACACAAUUAUGAUUUAAAACAUUCUUUCUUCAAAAUUGGGUUUAAGCUUUGUACAAAUAACUUUUUUGGUCCUCAUCAAUAGUGAUUCUUUACUAAGCACGCACAAUUCCCACCAGUAUUCUCCAUCUUUGAAAUACCUGUGUUUAUGCUGAGAAAUUUUCUAGUUUUUUUCUUUAAAUUAUGUUGCCCAAAGUACAACAGGUAGUCUUCUGCCUACAUAUUUACUUUUCUGUAUUAUGUCACAGGGUGAGUUUUCUGAAGAUAUGGAAAGCAAUUAUGAGGGAUCCGUAUUUCACAUUUAAUUUAAAAUUCAGUGAUCUUACCAACUUUCUAAAAACCAUUUGUCAAGUACAACCCCAUUUGAGUACUAUUAAAAUGAAAGAGUAAAAAAUGCAUCUUAAGUUUAAGAAAAUACAAUAUUUAGAAAGCAGAUUCCAUAGAUGAAUUAGGUGCAAAGAGAGCGAGAGGAGAGGAAAACAGAAACUACUAAGAGUUCAUAAGCUUUACCCGAUCAGUGUGUGUCUUCCUUCAGAUUUGCCAUCUUCUGUUUUAGUAAGCUCUUGAUUUAUUGGGUGAGAAUCUGACUAGUGUUUUUAAAUUCUGAUCAUUGUUUGCCUUUUGAUAUUCAAACUAGGAGAUUUAAAACAACACUGCAGCUGAGAACUUUUAAAUGAACAUAAAUAACAAACAUCAAAAUGUUUAAAAUUUAUUUUUUCACAUUGCCAUGAGAAAGCAGAAAAAUGUUUAAAAUUUAAAAGCAUUUCAAUAUUCCAAUUAUCCUCUCACUUUUGCACCUUUUAAAAAAAUAAUCACUGUUCUCUGCCACCUUCAAUUUUUAUAUAUUGUUCUUUUUCACUUUCUGAAUGUGCUGGACUUUCCAUGACUUUACAAAUGCUGUUCCAUCACCUAAAAUGUUCACUAUUCUCAACUUUUCAUUUCCUGUCCUCUGGCUGAUGAUAGGAACCACAUAAGCUGAUGGAAUUCUACUCAUCCUAGGGGUUUCAGAUUAAACAUAAUUCCCUCCAAAUAAUGUUGCCUAGGUCCCUAGAAUAGGUUAGAUUCCCUGUUUAUGCUAUUAAAAGCAUCCUGUAAUUUUUAUUUUAUUUCAGCUUGUACAUUAUUAAACCUACUGUUUGCAAUUGUUGCUAAGGUUGUUCUCCCUGCUAAACUAUGAGUGUUACAUGAAAAGAGAUUCUGAAUUUUGUUUACUAAUAUAUCCUCCAUGCUUAGCACAAUGCUUGGUACAUAGGACAUUCUCAUUUUUUUUUUGUGGCUUGACAAACACUUAACACAUCCUCCCAUCCCCCAUAUUACAAUAGAAUUCAAAUUUUGUAGGCAGCCAUUACUGAUUUCUAAAUUCAAUAUCUCAAAUUAGUUCUAUUUUAAUCUAAAGUCACCUAUUUAUCAUUACACUACAUUUCUGUAUUUGGUAAUAUAUUUAAAUGUAGAAUAUACUAUGUAGCAUUAAUGCCCAAGUUGGUAACUUUUAAAAUAGUUUCUCUGUACUUUAAGUACUGGUAUUUUUGGAGCCUAACUAUGAGUUUUUCCUAAUAAAAAGGUGAGGAAAUAUGAACUAUGAUAUUUUUGAAAAUUUACUCAAAAAAGUAUACAGGUCUCAUUUAAAGCACUAAAAGGCAGCAAAUUUUUAGAGAAAAUGAAAUUUCUACUUGGAGAACUAUGGCAUACAAGGUAUUAAAAAAUGUAAAAAAACUCCUGUAACAAAUCAUCAAACAUUCUUGAAAAAGACAUAAUAAAUAUUUAUCAUAGCUAUCACAGGAAACUAAAAUAAAUCCCUGAAAGCCAAAAGAAGAGGAAGCAGAAAUUCAGAGUAUUAUGCUUGCUUGAAGCAGCAGCUUCCCUGAGACAUUGUUGAUAAUAGAAACCUAAGGCCUUUAGAGGUUUUCCCCCAUCAUAUUUUUUCAUCAGCCUUUAUUGUGUAAUAAUUUACAUACAAUAAAAUUAACCAAUUUAAGUCAUAUAUUCAUAUAACCACCACCUUAGGUAAGAUAUAGAACAUGCCUCUCUGCAGUCAUUCCCCUGAUACCAAACCAGGCAUGUUCUUGCCCAUCCUGCAAUAAGCCAAUCACUGAGACAGUAAGUUUUGCAGUAGAGGAAAGAUUUUAUUCAUGAGGCAUCCAAGUGAGGAGGUGGGAGAACACCCCUCAAAUUCUCCUCCUUGAAGUUAGGGUCUUAGGGAUAUUUAUGGGAUAAAGGAGCAAGGCAGUCCAAGGUAUGGAAAAAGGUGAUUGGUAGUAAGAAAAAGUGAGAUAAUUGCCAAUCUCUGCAAGUGCAGUUAAGCUUCAUUGCUUUUCAAAGGAUGCAUGUUCCCAAAAUGGUAUUAUUAGUACAAUCUGAGGGUGGAGUUUUGGGCCCUCUGAUGUCAAAAGGACAUUCAUUGGACAUUUAUACAGGCCAAUUGGAGGGUCAGUGGUAUCAGUCAGCUUGAGCUAGACAAGAGCUGAUCCUAAUUUCCUGAAAAACAAGCAACCAUUACUAUGGUGACUUGUACAUCAGAGAUGUUAUCUAUAAGGAAACCAGUGGAAGUUUAGUUACAUAUUGCUUAAUUGCAUGACUUUUAGCUAUGUAGGUUUUCAACUAGAAGCAAGCAACUACAAGCAAGGCAAGUUUCACCUUGUCCUUCGGCAACCACUGCUUUGCAUUCUGUCAUUUUAAUGUUGCUGUUGCUAGAGUUUUAUAUGAGUAUCAUCAUACCAUAUUUAGUCUUUGUGUCUGGCUUCUUCCAUGUAGCAUAAUGCUUCUGAGAUUCAUCUGUGUUGUUGUAUGUAGCAGUUCAUUCCUUUAUAUGGCCAGUAAGUAUUUCAGUGUGCUAACACAAUAAUUUCAUCAGUUGAUGGACAUUGUGAUAUGUCUACUUUGGAGGUAUUAAAUAUUAUAAAUAAAUCUGCUAUGAACAUUGGAAUAUGUGUCUCUGGAAACAUGUUUUUACUUCUCUUGGGUAAAUACCUAUGAGUGGGAUGGUUGGGUUGAAUAGUAGAGUUAUGUUUAAGUUCAUGAAAAACUGCCAAACUCUUUUCCAAAGUGGCUGGCCCAUUUGCUUUUCUCGCAAGCAAUGUAUGAGAGUUUCAGUUGCUCUGCAUCCUCACCAACGCUUGAUUUUUUCAGUUUUCUAGUGAAUGUGUGUGGUGUAAGGCCAAAAGUUAAGGCACAUUGCUAUAUACUGUCUUGAUAUCUGGUAAAACUGAGAGAGUCCCAAAUGGCCUAACCAGAGGAUUCCCCUCCCCACUCUCCUUCCAUUGGUAAAGUACCCUAGCCAAACAACCUCUCCUUAACAGAGGGACCAGACACCUACCCCUGAGUAGCAGAGUUUCAAUUCCAUGCCAGCUGUGAAAUUAUUCCAGGAAACCAAUCACAUUUUCCUGUGAGAACUAGGGAAUGUGUCACCCUCUUCAUAUUACAAAUUCUGCCUCCCACAUCUCUCAGCUGUCUUCUGUUCCCAAAUGCAACCUCCCUAGAGCAUGGAGUGUCCUCCCCUGCAAGCUAAUUUCCCUACAUGGAGUACUCCAUCCUCUUGUUCCAGUCUCAGCUGGCUGCUCCAUGGGCUACUUCAUAGCUUUCAUCACAGAGCUUUGCUUGGCCUCUCUCCUGUGUGUCAUCUCUGUUUCUUGGAUUCUGUGCUUUCAUUUUCCCACUGUACUCUGAUAUUUCAGUGAAGUUUAUCCACGAAGUCCAGAAUUCUGCCUGGAAACCAGCUUCCUCCUCAGCUGCAGCUCUUUUAAUGGGUACAUCCGAACUGAUGACUUCUCCUUCCUGCUGCAUAGUGGUUCCUGUACUGUGUGUUCUGGAGAGUUAUGGACCUCAAGAGUCGACAUAGGAUCUUAUGAGAUGAUGAAUGCUGCCGACACAAUAGCUGUUUUCUCCACUGAGUCCAAGUGCUUUUGCUUUUGAGUCCCUACUUCUUGAUGUCAGCAGUGAGCAUGAAGAACAGUUUCAAAAAAAAAAAAAAAAAA